GAUGAACGCUGGCGGCGUGCCUAAUACAUGCAAGUCGAGCGAACAGACGAGGAGCUUGCUCCUCUGACGUUAGCGGCGGACGGGUGAGUAACACGUGGAUAACCUACCUAUAAGACUGGGAUAACUUCGGGAAACCGGAGCUAAUACCGGAUAAUAUAUUGAACCGCAUGGUUCAAUAGUGAAAGACGGCUUUGCUGUCACUUAUAGAUGGAUCCGCGCCGCAUUAGCUAGUUGGUAAGGUAACGGCUUACCAAGGCGACGAUGCGUAGCCGACCUGGGAGGGUGGUCGGCCCACCCGGGACUGGGACACGGCCCAGGCCCCCAAGGGAGGGAGGAAGAGGGGAUCUUUCGCAAUUGACCGAAGGCCUGACGAACCACCCCGGGGGGGGGAAGGAGGGUUUCGGAUCCUAAAACUCCGUUUAUAGGGAAAAAACAGUGUGAUAGGAAAAUACUCACGCCUUGACGGUACCUAAUCAGAAAGCACCGGCUAACUACGUG
Molecule: ribosomal RNA, 498 nt
Filed under: uncultured bacterium
Lineage: Bacteria
Description: partial 16S ribosomal RNA
Rfam family: Bacterial small subunit ribosomal RNA
Source: RNAcentral